GCGGGUGGCUGGAUGGCCGCGGGGCGACCCGAGGAAAGUCCGGACUCCAUGAAGCAACGGUGCCGGGUAACGCCCGGCCGGGGAAACCCGAGGGAAAGCGCCACAGAGAACAAACCGCCCCGGAUCCGAUCCGGGGUAAGGGUGAAACGGUGGGGUAAGAGCCCACCGCGGGCCUGGCAACAGGGCCGGCACGGCAAGCCCCACCGGGAGCAAUGCCAAAUAGGGAUUUCGCGGGGGCACGCCCCCAGGGGGCUUCACCCCAGAGAUCCGGGUUGGCAGCUAAAGCGCGUCGGUAACGGCGAGCAUAGAGGAAUGGUCAUCCAGGGGGCGCAAGCCCCCGGACAGAAUCCGGCUUACAGGCCAUCCGCGCAU
This is a non-coding RNA of Rhodovulum sp. NI22, 372 nucleotides long. Lineage: Bacteria; Pseudomonadati; Pseudomonadota; Alphaproteobacteria; Rhodobacterales; Paracoccaceae. The record is from Rfam.